This 492-nucleotide ribosomal RNA is filed under the name uncultured bacterium. Its description in RNAcentral is "partial 16S ribosomal RNA". It matches the Rfam family "Bacterial small subunit ribosomal RNA", at positions 29 to 507 of the family's 1533-position model. The record is from RNAcentral.
AGUGAACGCUGGCGGUAGGCCUAACACAUGCAAGUCGAACGGCAGCACAGUAAGAGCUGGCUCUUACGGGUGGCGAGUGGCGGACGGGGGAGGAAUACAUCGGAAUCUACUUUUUCGGGGGGGAUAACGUAGGGAAACUUACGCUAAUACCGCAUACGACCUACGGGUGAAAGCAGGGGAUCUUCGGACCUUGCGCGAUUGAAUGAGCCGAUGUCGGAUUAGCUAGUUGGCGGGGUAAAGGCGAACCAAGGCGACGAUCCGUAGCUGGUCUGAGGGGAUGAUCCGCUACCUUGGAACUGAGACACGGUCCAGACUCCUACGGGAGGCAGCAGUGGAGAAUAUUGGACAAUGGGGGCAAGCCUGAUCCAGCCAUACCGCGUGGGUGAAGAAGGCCUUCGGGUUGGAAAGCCCUUUUGUUGGGAAAGAAAAGCAGCAGGUUAAUCCCCCGCUGUUCUGACGGUACCCAAAGAAUAAGCACCGGCUAACUUCGUG